This 679-nucleotide ribosomal RNA is filed under the name uncultured fungus. Its description in RNAcentral is "eukaryotic LSU rRNA". The stretch from base 215 to 368 matches the Rfam family "5.8S ribosomal RNA". The record is from RNAcentral. Lineage: Eukaryota; Fungi.
CUUGGUCAUUUAGAGGAAGUAAAAGUCGUAACAAGGUUUCCGUAGGCGAACCUGCGGAAGGAUCAUUCAUAAUAAGUGUUUUAUGGCACUCUUUAAAUCCAUAUCCACCUUGUGUGCAAUGUCAGUCGAUCUUCUUCAUGGAGAUCGGCCAAACAUCAACCUUAUUUUUUAACUCUUUGUCUGAAAAAUAUUAUGAAUAAACAAUUCAAAAUACAACUUUCAACAACGGAUCUCUUGGCUCUCGCAUCGAUGAAGAACGCAGCGAAAUGCGAUACGUAAUGUGAAUUGCAGAAUUCAGUGAAUCAUCGAAUCUUUGAACGCAUAUUGCGCUCUUUGGUAUUCCGAAGAGCAUGCUUGUUUGAGUAUCAGUAAACACCUCAAAGCUUUUGGAUUUUUUUUGAAAGCUUUGGACUUGAGCAAUCCCAACGCCAAUCUUUUUCAGAUCGGCGGCGGGUUGCUUGAAAUGCAGGUGCAGCUGGACUUUCUCCUGAGCUAAAAGCAUAUUCAUUUAGUCCCGUCAAACGGAUUAUUACUUUUGCUGCGGCUAACAUAAAGGGAGUUUGACCGUAUUGGCUGACUGAUGCAGGAUUUUACAAGGGUCGGCAACGAUUCUUGUUAAACUCGAUCUCAAAUCAAGUAAGACUACCCGCUGAACUUAAGCAUAUCAAUAAGCGGAGGA